GGUUGUUCUCGGGUGACACAUCCCGGAAUUGGGCUUUCUCCUCUCUGGUUCUGGAUGCAUUAUUCGAAAACCACA
Non-coding RNA from Myotis brandtii (Brandt's bat), 75 nucleotides. NCBI's taxonomy places the organism in Eukaryota, Metazoa, Chordata, Mammalia, Chiroptera, Vespertilionidae. The record is from Rfam.